Molecule: ribosomal RNA, 228 nt
Filed under: uncultured bacterium
Lineage: Bacteria
Description: partial 16S ribosomal RNA
Rfam family: Bacterial small subunit ribosomal RNA
Source: RNAcentral
UACGUAGGGGGCAAGCGUUGUCCGGAUUUAUUGGGCGUAAAGAGCGUGUAGGCGGCCAGGUAGGUCGCUGUGAAAACUCGAGGCUCAACCUCGAGAUGUCGGCGGAAACCAUCUGGCUAGAGUCCGGAAGAGGAGAGUGGAAUUCCUGGUGUAGCGGUGAAAUGCGCAGAUAUCAGGAAGAACACCCGUGGCGAAGGCGGCUCUCUGGGACGGUACUGGACGCUGAGA